GUGUUAUAUGUGUCACACGGGACGUGCCGGUUUUAAGCCGGAGGAAGCGGGGAUGACGUCAAGUCAGCAUGGCCUUUAUAUCCUGGGCUACACACACGCUACAAUGGUCUGUACAAUAGGUUGCCAAGCCGCGAGGCGGAGCCAAUCCAAAAAAGCAGGCCUCAGUUCAGAUUGUAGUCUGCAACCCGACUGCAUGAAGAUGGAGUUGCUAGUAACCGCAGGUCAGCUAUACUGCGGUGAAUACGUUCCCGGGUCUU
RNAcentral lists this ribosomal RNA (257 nucleotides) under uncultured Anaerolineaceae bacterium. Its description in RNAcentral is "partial 16S ribosomal RNA". It matches the Rfam family "Bacterial small subunit ribosomal RNA", at positions 1112 to 1382 of the family's 1533-position model. The record is from RNAcentral. Lineage: Bacteria; Bacillati; Chloroflexota; Anaerolineae; Anaerolineales; Anaerolineaceae.